UUCGCAAUGCCCGAAAGGGUGACGAAGCGACGCCGCGUGCGGGAAGAAGGCCUUCGGGUUGUAAACCGCUGUCGGGAGUUAAGAAAUGCAAGGGUGUUAACAGCAUCCUUGCUUGACUAAGGCUCCGGAGGAAGCCACGGCUAACUCUGUGCCAGCAGCCGCGGUAAUACAGAGGCGGCAAGCGUUGUUCGGAAUUAUUGGGCGUAAAGAGCACGUAGGCGGCCGUGUAAGUCGGUUGUGAAAGCCUUCCGCUCAACGGGAGAACGGCAUCCGAUACUGCAUGGCUCGAGUGCGGGAGGGGAGAGUGGAACUUCUGGUGGAGCGGUGAAAUGCGUAGAUAUCAGAAGGAACGCCGGCGGCGAAAGCGGCUCUCUGGUCCGUAACUGACGCUGAGUGUGCGAAAGCUAGGGGAGCAAACGGGAUUAGAUACCCCGGUAGUCCUAGCCGUAAACGAUGGGCACUAAGUAGAGGGGUUUU
This 477-nucleotide ribosomal RNA is filed under the name uncultured anaerobic ammonium-oxidizing bacterium. Its description in RNAcentral is "bacterial SSU rRNA". It matches the Rfam family "Bacterial small subunit ribosomal RNA", at positions 365 to 832 of the family's 1533-position model. The record is from RNAcentral.